Molecule: ribosomal RNA, 424 nt
Filed under: uncultured bacterium
Lineage: Bacteria
Description: partial 16S ribosomal RNA
Rfam family: Bacterial small subunit ribosomal RNA
Source: RNAcentral
AAUUUUGGACAAUGGGGGAUACCCUGAUCCAGCCAUCUCGCGUGUAUGAUGAAGGCCUUCGGGUUGUAAAGUACUCUUGGCAGCGAUGAAAAGGUAUCCCCUAAUGCGGGACGCGGCUGACGGUAUCUUCAGAAUAAGCUCCGGCUAACGACGUGCCAGCAGCCGCGGUAAUACGUAGGGUGCAAGCGUUAAUCGGAAUUACUGGGCGUAAUGCGUGUGUAGGCGGUUCGGAAAGAAAGAUGUGAAAUCCCAGGGAUCAACCUUGGAACUGCAUUUUAAACUGCCGAGCUAGAGUAUGUCAGAGGGGGGUAGAAUUCCACGUGUAGCAGUGAAAUGCGUAGAUAUGUGGAGGAAUACCGAUGGCGAAGGCAGCCCCCUGGGAUAAUACUGACGCUCAGACACGAAAGCGUGGGGAGCAAACAGG